CCCAACUUUAUCUUAUCAUCUUCACCUAUUUUGUAUCAUUCUUUGUUCUGAAUUUCUAUAAUAUAUUACCUUCUUUGAGUCUAUUUCCUUUGAAGCAUCUGUUCUUAUUGUUGUCCACGACUGUAAUUUCUUGUGCAUCUCAUUUCUGAUCUUGAAGUGCUGGGCUGCUUCAGGGUUUUUAAGGCAAACAAAGAUGGAUUUUUGUAUGGAGCUGCCAAAAGGAGCUGCCUCAAAACUUGGAGAAAUGGGAGUGGAGUCUAUCAUAAAGCAAUUUAAAUAUAUGAUCCAAUACAAAAAUAUAAUUGCCAAUUUGAAUGAAGAGCACAAUAAUUUGGAUUCUUUGAGACAAUCAUUGCAAGGGUGGGUGGAUGCAGAAAGCACAAAAGGAAACGAAAUUCCACGUAACGUGUUGAACUGGCUCUCUAAAGAAGCAGAAAUUGAAGCUGUGUUAGAAAGUUUCUAUGAAAACAAAGUUAACAAGAACAAGAAGUGCUUUUGGGGCCAGUGUAUAAAUUUUGCAUUCAAUUACUCACUGGGUAAGCAAGCAACUGAAAAAAUAGAAGUUGUUACAAGAUUGAACGAGGAAGGAAAACAGCUUUCACUUAUAUCCUACCGUAAGGAUGCACCAGCACUUGGAUCAACCUUCAUAGAAAAUUACAAGAGUUUGGAGUCCAGAAACCAAAUUAUACAAGUGCUCAUAGAGAAGUUGAAGGAUGGUCAACUCAAAAGGAUUGGCAUUUGUGGGAUGGGUGGAGUGGGGAAAACCACACUUGUGAAAGAACUCAUCAAAACUGUAGAAAAUAAGUUAUUUGAUAAAGUUGUGAUGGCUGUUGUAUCCCAAAAUCCUGAUUACGAGAAGAUUCAAAGACAAAUUGCUGAUGGUUUAGGUUUGGAGUUAAAAGGGCAGAGUUUGGAAGGAAGGGGUUGGGAAAUAUUUCAAAGGUUUAAAGAAUUUGAAGAGAAGAAUGUUAAGGUGCUAAUAGUCUUAGAUGAUGUGUGGAAAGAACUUAAUUUUGAGUUGAUAGGACUUUCUUCUCAAGACCAUCAGAAAUGUAUAAAAAUAUUAUUCACAUCACGAGAUGAAAAGGUGUGCCAACAGAAUAGAAGCCAAGAUAAUGUACAUGUCUCUGUGUUGCUCCACGAUGAAGCUUGGAGCCUAUUUCGAGAAAUGGCUGGAAAUGUUGCAAGCAAACCUGAUAUCAAUCCAAUAGCAAGUGAGGUUGCAAGGGAAUGUGGUGGUUUGCCCCUUGCAAUUGCAACAGUUGGACGAGCACUUGGCAACGAGGAAAAAAGUAUGUGGGAGGUUGCCCUACAACAGCUGAGACAAGCUCAAUCAUCAUCCUUCUCAAACAUGCAGGAAUGUGUAUAUUCACGAAUUGAACUUAGCAUCAAUAUAUUGGGUGUUGAACACAAGUCAUGCCUUUUCCUUUGUGGAUUGUUUCCAGAGGACUUUGACAUUCCUAUAGAAAGCCUGUUGCGUCACGGGGUGGGCUUGGGGUUGUUUAUGGUAGAUGAUUAUGUUUGGAAAGCAAGAAAUUAUAUAAACUAUUUGGUGAAUAGUCUGAAAAAAUGUUUCCUAUUGUUAGACAGUGAAGAACCAGGGUGUGUAAAGAUGCAUGAUGUUGUGCGUGAUGUUGUCCUAAAAAUUUCAUCCAGAGAAGAACUUGGGAUUUUGGUGCAGUUUAAUGUAGAAUUAAAGAGGGUGAAAAAGAAACUAGCAAAAUGGCGUAGGAUGUCCCUUAUUUUGGACGAGGAUAUUGAGUUAGAAAAUGGCCUAGAAUGUCCAACUCUAGAGCUUUUACAGGUUCUAUGUCAAAGAGAAAAUAGAGAAGUGAAUAUAUGGCCAGAGAACUUUACCCAUGGAAUGACUAAACUCAAAGUUUUAUAUAUUCAAAAUGUGUGCAUUCCAAAAACAUUAUCUCAUUUCCAUGCCUCAGUCAACCUUCGCACGCUGCAGCUAGAAGGAUGUGAUGUUGGAGAUAUAUCUAUAAUUGGUAAAGAGUUAAAUAAACUAGAAAUCCUGAGCUUUGCCAAUUCUAAUAUUGAAGAACUUCCACUUGAAAUUGGGAAUUUGGAGUUUCUCACAUUAUUGGAUUUGACAGGAUGUGAUUAUCUUAAUUCUAUUUCUCCUAAUGUCUUAGCAAGGUUAUCAAGUCUGGAAGAGUUUUAUUUUAGGAUAAAAAACUUUCCUUGGUUGCUAAACAGAGAAGUUCUCAAUGAGUUAAGAAAUAUUUCUCCACAGUUGAAGGUUCUUGAGAUCAGAGUAAGGAAGAUGGAAAUUUUACCAUGUGAUAUGGAUUUCAAAAACCUGGAAUUUUUUUGGGUUUAUAUUGUUUCUAAUGAUUCUUAUGAGCGCUGUGGAUAUUUGGAGCCAAAUAGAAUACAAUUAAGAGAUUUAGAUUACAACUCUAUCAAGAGUAGUGUGAUGAUCAUGCAACUGUUCAAGAAAUGUGAAAUUCUCAUAUUAGAAGAAGUGAAGGACUUGAAAAAUGUCAUAUCUGAAUUGGAUGAUUGUGGACUCCAAUGUGUGAGAGAUUUAACCCUUGUUUCAUGCCCCCAUCUUGAGUGUGUCAUAGAUUGCAAUACUCCAUUCUCUGCAUUCCCAUUGAUCAGGUCGUUGUGUUUAUCGAAACUUGCCGAGAUGAGAGAAAUUAUUCAUGCACCUGAUGACCAAGAAACCACAAAAGCAAUUAUCAAAUUCUCAAAUUUGGAGAAAUUGGAGCUGAUGUUCCUCGACAAGUUGAUUGGCUUUAUGAACUUCAGUUUUUUGAACGAGCAUCAUCAACUAAUUCAUAGUGGAUUGAGUUCUACAACUAAAUUAACAGAUUCAACAAACAUCGAGGAUGGUGAAACCUCCAGAUCAAAUCCAGAUGGUUGUAGACCCUCAUCAGUUAGUGGCAAGUUGUUUUCAUCUAAUUGGAUCAUACACUUUCCAAAGUUGGAAAUAAUGGAGUUACUAGAAUGUAAUUCCAUAGAGAUGGUAUUUGACUUGGAAGGAUAUUCAGAAUUGAUCGGAAAUGCACAAGAUUUUCUGUUUCCUCAGCUAAGAAACGUUGAGAUAAUACAGAUGCAUAGUUUGUUAUAUGUGUGGGGUAAUGUUCCAUAUCAUAUUCAAGGCUUUCAUAAUUUGAGAGUUCUAACGAUCGAAGCAUGUGGUUCUUUAAAAUAUGUAUUUACUUCUGUCAUUGUUAGAGCAAUCACAAAUCUUGAGGAAUUGAGAGUAAGCUCUUGUAAAAUGAUUGAGAACAUAAUAGUUUACAGCAGAGAUGGUAAAGAGGAUGAUACUAUUAAAGGAGAUGUGGCCGCAACUAUUAGGUUUAAUAAACUAUGUUAUUUAUCUCUUUCUGGACUUCCAAAGCUUGUGAAUAUUUGUUCAGAUUCUGUUGAGUUAGAAUAUCCAUCCUUGAGGGAAUUUAAGAUUGAUGAUUGUCCAAUGUUGAAGAUAUCUCUAUCACCAACAUAUAUCCAUGCAAAUCAAGACAGCCUCAACAAUGUCACACAUUCAAAAAAUAAAGAAGAUGAUAAUAUUGAAGUAAACAACUCAAACUCGUCAACUUGCCCCCCUGCAGGGUGUACUCCUUUUCUGUCCAAAUUCUUUCAUAAAGGAAACGCAAAUAAGAGAAUUAACAAGGAAGUAUCAAUAACACGAGCACCAGAGGAUCAUAUACCUUCUAGUUUUGAAAUGAAGAUGAAGAAAGGAAAAAGUCAUAUGCCUGUUCUAGAAGACUUGUGCAUAGGAAAAUGUGAUUUUCUAGAGUUUAUAUUUUUUCACAAAGAAAAAGUCAAUUUCUUAGUUCCUUCACACUUGAAAACCAUCAAAAUUGAAAAGUGUGAGAAGUUAAAGACCAUAGUUGCUAGCACAGAAAAUAGAAAGGACGUGACAAACUCGUUUACUCAGUUAGUGUCACUUCACUUGAAAGAUCUUCCACAUCUUGUGAAGUUUAGCAUUUGUGGACCAUAUGAGUCAUGGAACAACCAAAUAGACAAGGAUGAAUGUAUGGAUGAUCAAGAAAGUAUUAGAUGUCAUCUACUCAUGGAUGAUUCCUUGUUUCCAAACUUAACUUCUUUGCUCAUAGAAGCUUGCAACAAAAUUAGCAUCUUAAUCUCUCAUUCAUCUUUGGGGAGUCUUGAGCAUCUUGAAAAGCUAGAAGUACGAAAUUGCAAGAACAUGCAAGAAAUAGCAUCUCUAGAAGAAAGUUCAAAUAAGAUUGUGUUACAUAGGUUGAAACAUCUAAUUCUUCAGGAGCUACCCAACCUUAAAGCCUUUUGCCUAAGUUCAUGUGAUGUCUUUUUCCCGUCAUUGCAAAAAAUGGAAAUUAAUGAUUGUCCCAAUAUGGAAGUUUUUUCACUAGGAUUUUGUACUACACCUGUGCUUGUGGAUGUCACAAUGAGGCAAUCAUCACUCAAUAUUAGAGGCUAUAUACAGAAGACAGACAUCAAUGAUAUUGUACGAGGAUUUAAAGCAUUUGUGGCAUCACAAGGAUCGAAGAUGUUGAGCUGGACCAUGUUGCAUAAUGAAGGAUACUUUAUCAAAAACUCAAAAAUAAGUAUCAAAGAAUGUCAUGAACUGCCAUAUCUUGUUCCUUACAAUAAAAUACAAAUGCUUCAACAUGUGGAGGAACUCACUGCAGGUUAUUGUGAUUCACUAGUUGAGGUGAUUGAAUCAGGAGGAGGAAAAGGUACAAGAAAAGGGGAUGUCAACACACAUUAUCAAUUAAAAAAUUUGACAUUGCAGCAGUUGCCAAAAUUGAUUCACAUAUGGAAACAUGAUAUUGUGGAGGUUAUAAGCUUCCAGAAGCUUACAAAAAUUGAUGUUUAUGCUUGCCACAAUUUGAAGAGUUUGUUCUCCCACUCUAUGGGUAGAAGCCUUGUGCAACUUCAAGAAAUAUCAGUUUGGGAUUGUGAAAUGAUGGAGGAGAUAAUAACAAAGGAAGAGGAAUAUAUAGAAGGAGGCAAUAAAGUCAGGACAUUAUUUCCUAAGUUGGAGGUAUUGUCACUUGCAUAUCUUCCUAAGCUGAAAUGUGUUUGUUCAGGAGAUUAUGACUAUGAUAUCCCUUUAUGCACUGUUGAAGUGGAAAAGGAAUUCAAUAAUAAUGAUAAGGUUCUGAUUUUAUUUCCACAAUUAAAGGAUUUAGUGCUUAGUAAAGUACCAGAGCUCAAGUGUUUUUGUUCAGGAGUGUACGACUACGAUAUCAUGGUGUCGUCAACUAAUGAGUGUCCAAAUAUGAGAACCUUUCCCCAUGGAAAUGUUAUUGUAGACACACCCAACCUUGAUCAUCUAUGGUUGGAGUGGAUAUAUGUGCAAACACUUGGAGACCUAAAUUUGACAAUAUAUUAUCUUCAUAAUUCAGAGAAAUACAAGGCGGAGUUGCAAAAAUUAGAGACAUUUAGAGAUAUGGAUGAAGAGCUUCUUGGCUACAUCAAAAGAGUAAUAGUGCUUGAGAUUGUAAACUGUCAUAAGCUAUUGAAUUGCAUCCCAUCCAACAUGAUGCAAUUAUUCUCACAUGUGAAGUCUCUAACAGUGAAAGAAUGUGAGUGCUUAGUAGAGAUAUUUGAAUCAAAUGAUAGCAUCUUGCAGUGUGAACUAGAGGUCUUAAAUUUGUAUUGUCUUCCAAAACUGAAGCACAUCUGGAAAAAUCAUGGUCAAACUUUAAGGUUCGGGUAUUUACAAGAGAUAAGGAUCAAGAAGUGCAAUGAUUUGGAAUAUGUGAUUCCGGAUGUUUCCGUGGUCACAAGCCUUCCAAGUUUGAUGUCGAUUCAUGUGUCUGAAUGCGAGAAGAUGAAGGAGAUCAUUGGGAAUAAUUGUUUACAACAGAAAGCUAAGAUUAAAUUCCCAAAGCUGAUGAAAAUUAAACUAAAGAAGCUUCCUAGCCUCAAAUGUUUCAGUGAAAGCUCUUUCCAUUGCUACGUUGAGAUGCCAGCAUGUGAGUGGAUACUAAUUAAUGACUGUCCAGAGAUGAAGACCUUUUGGUACAAUGGAAUCUUGUACACUCCAGGUAUUUAUAGAAUUUGUGUAGAAGAUACCAAAUUUGACAUAGAUGAAGAUGUUAAUGAAGUGAUACAACGACAGAAUAAAUGAUUGUGUGUUUGGUGUGAGGAAUUUUGAGGUUAGGGUUUGUGCUUUGGGAAAGAAGAGGAAUACCCAUAUGAUGAAAGUUGCUCAUUAAAACUUUUUGAAGAGAAAGUGGCUUCCUUUGAACAACUGAUACGCAUCAAGACAUACAGACAAACCUCUUAGUUGCAUCACCCCCAAUAUGCAUAGGUUUUUCUCACUUGCAUCAUCCUUACCUCAUGCAAGCAAUCAUAGCUAACAUACAACCACCUAGCAACUUCUGUUGACGUUUUAUUUCGUGCAUUUAGGUUACUUUUCAGCAUUUCCAUUUUCAUUACAUUUGUAUCCAUGGCUUCUAGGAUUACUAUAAAUAAGGUCAUUUCCUUCAUGUAUCAACAUCAUUGAAUUAUAUAAAUUAUGAGUUUCUUA
Molecule: RNA transcript, 6481 nt
Organism: Medicago truncatula (barrel medic)
Lineage: Eukaryota; Viridiplantae; Streptophyta; Magnoliopsida; Fabales; Fabaceae
Exons: 10
Source: RefSeq, a predicted model, not a curated record